Molecule: transfer RNA, 86 nt
Filed under: Candidatus Uhrbacteria bacterium CG10_big_fil_rev_8_21_14_0_10_50_16
Lineage: Bacteria; Candidatus Uhriibacteriota
Description: tRNA-Leu
Rfam family: tRNA
About the family: Transfer RNA (tRNA) molecules are approximately 80 nucleotides in length. Their secondary structure includes four short double-helical elements and three loops (D, anti-codon, and T loops).
Source: RNAcentral
GCCGCGGUGAUGGAAUGGUAGACAUAGGGGACUUAAAAUCCCCGGGCCUCACGGCCUUGCGGGUUCAAUUCCCGCCCGCGGUACCA